UACGUAGGGAGCAAGCGUUGUUCGGAUUUACUGGGCGUAAAGGGCGCGUAGGCGGCGUGUUAAGUCAGCUGUGAAAUCUCCAAGCUCAACUUGGAACGGCCAGCUGAUACUGAUGUGCUAGAGUGCAGAAGGGGCAAUCGGAAUUCUUGGUGUAGCGGUGAAAUGCGUAGAUAUCAAGAGGAACACCUGAGGUGAAGACGGGUUGCUGGGCUGACACUGACGCUGAGGCGCGAAAGCCAGGGGAGCAAACGGG
Molecule: ribosomal RNA, 253 nt
Filed under: uncultured bacterium
Lineage: Bacteria
Also listed under: 2 other names
Description: partial 16S ribosomal RNA
Rfam family: Bacterial small subunit ribosomal RNA
Source: RNAcentral